UACGAAGGGGGCAAGCGUUGUUCGGAUUUACUGGGCGUACAGGGAGCGUAGGCGGUUGGAUAAGCCCUCCGUGAAAUCUCCAGGCUUAACCUGGAAAGUGCAGAGGGGACUGUUCAGCUAGAGGAUGGGAGAGGCGAGUGGAAUUCCCGGUGUAGCGGUGAAAUGCGCAGAUAUCGGGAGGAACACCAAUUGCGAAGGCAGCUCGCUGGGACGUUACUGACGCUGAGACGCGAAAGCGUGGGGAGCAAACAGG
Molecule: ribosomal RNA, 253 nt
Filed under: uncultured bacterium
Lineage: Bacteria
Description: partial 16S ribosomal RNA
Rfam family: Bacterial small subunit ribosomal RNA
Source: RNAcentral